Molecule: long non-coding RNA, 1000 nt
Filed under: Homo sapiens (human)
Lineage: Eukaryota; Metazoa; Chordata; Mammalia; Primates; Hominidae
Description: non-protein coding LIMD1-AS1:7
Source: RNAcentral
AGAGCAGCGGGAGCGCGGCGCAAGGGCAAAAUGGAUCGUUGGUACCCGGAAGCCCGUUCAAACUGUAUAAGGGUGAUCAGCUAUCACGGAGAAGGCUUUAGCAAGUCGGGGCCAGUGGCGCAAUGGAUAACGCGUCUGACUACGGAUCAGAAGAUUCUAGAAGCCCAUGGAAACAAGGCGAUGACGGCGCUUGAGGGUGACCAGACCUCCUCAAUCAUUCCAUCAGCCACCCAGGACUCAACAGCAGAACCUCAGAGGACUCAGCUGAAAGAGGUUUUCACUCGAGCACUAACCACAGAGAAAUGGGAAGUGCCAUCCUGCUGUCAUACGCAGCCGAUGGCUGGGUAGGACUAAAUGCCCUUCUGUGGUGAGAUGAACCAAGACGGCAGAUGGGGGAAUAACAUCAGUGAGAGAGAGAUUACGAAUGGAUCCUUGUAUUGCAGAUCAAACUGGGUUGUCUCUUCUCAAACCACCCAGGCAGUUUCUGAAUGUCCCAAGAUAGGGGUAGGAGAAAAGAAAAAAAAGACAAAACAGGAGACGGUGGGUAAGAAAACCUAAAAGGCACAAUGAGGCAAAGGCCUAAGAUGGAGGCUGGCUUUGGGAUCUGAAAUCCGGCCACAAUCCUCCUUGUUUUACCUCAAGUCCAAGAAUUGUCAAAAAGAAAACCCAGAAGGGCUAUUCAUUCUAAAUUUUAAAAUCUUUUCUUCCUGGCCUACCAAGUCCUUGUGUUUUCUUUCUAGGCGCCCAUAAAUACAACCCCAUUACAGUUCUAUUUGGCUAAUAAUUUACAGAACAUUUAAAAUACCGGGUAGGUGAACAUCUCUUCAUGGCUUUUGUGUAAGGGCCUGAAGCGAAGAGAAAAACAACUGAUUGGAGAUUCCUAUCUGGCGCCUUCUCCAGGGAAACUGACAACCAGAGAAAUCUGUUGCUAGGAUUUCUAGGACAUCUGGAAAUUCCCUUUUUGUUCUUUCUCAACAAUAUAAAAUGGUAUAUUCGCAAA